Oryctolagus cuniculus (rabbit) is the source of this 1698-nucleotide non-coding RNA. The record is from RefSeq and is a predicted model, not a curated record. NCBI's taxonomy places the organism in Eukaryota, Metazoa, Chordata, Mammalia, Lagomorpha, Leporidae.
GCCAAUGAGAACGCGAGACUCCCGGACAGGGGGCGGGGCCAGGAGGGCGGGGCGGGGCUUACAGCUUUGUUCUGGAGCCUGGCGGUAAGCGGGGCGCAUGCGUAAGGAGGGGCUUUAGGGAGACCGCGAGAGUCCCACGUGACGCGGGCACCCACCCGGAGGGUGCUGCCGUCUCCCGAUCACUUUGCUGGUGCACUCGUCCGCGGUUCAGCUCCGAGACCCGCAAGGUCAAUUGGCGGGUCCACUGGUCCUGAGGCAAGCACUCAUUCGUCUAAUGAGGGAUUCAGGACUUGCAAGGCCACGUGGGGACGAGGGAAGGGGCUGGGAGAGAGGCAGCGUGUCCGCGGCCACUAACACGGACUCCCCCUGCCCCGAGCUCGGAUCCCUGAAACAUUCAGAGGCCCAGGGGAGAGGGAAGGGGAGCGGGUUGUGGGGAUCCCCGCGUUCGUUUCUGCCAUGGGAACCCUUUCGUGUUGCUUCUGUUCCCACUAACAGGAAACCUACAGGCCUCAGAGACCAAAAAUAACCCAGGAAAGGAAGGGCGGCCGCGAGCUGGGGGUUGAGGGGGAACCAAUACUCGCACCACCCACCUCUUCCUCAUUGGGGCUGGAACCUUUCUAGCCACAACCACUUCCUAGCUAGGGUCGUUGAUCUCCUGAUGGGAGCGAUUACAGGGAAAGGCUACGACUGGCCACUGGAGUGGCCACCCCUCCCAACCAACCAGUACUCCGAGGCCCCCAGUCCUGGAGUCCACCAGCCUCCCUGAGUCCACGGCAGGAGCCACCUGAGCUUCCCCCUCCUUCUAAGUCAAGCUCCCUGGGACGCUGACCUUGAACCGUGGACUCCAGAAAAGGCAAACGAGAAUGGGGGUGAGACAGUGAGCCUAUCAUCUCAUAUGUGGGAAAUGGAAAUAAGCAUCUGUAAAUCUCUCUCUCUCUCUCUGAGAUGCAGCAAUCGGUACGGCCGUGCAACAGUGUUUAAUAGCUCAGUCUUUGGAACUAGAUCACAGUUCCAGCCUCCGCUUCAUCACUUAUUAACCUGGUCAGGAUACUGAACCUCUCUCAGUGGGUUUCCUCAUUAUCUGUGGAUUACAGAUACUAGUACCUACCUUUUAGCAAUGUUGGGGGGGUUCAAUUAGAAAACAUGUGAAUGAAAAUGCUUCCUUUAGCAGGCGAUAAAGAACAUCUCAUGUUGCAGGAGAUAAUAUUAGCUGGUCUGAUUAUCAGCAGGCCAUAAGCUGGAGUGGAAGGUUUUAGUUUAGUUUUUUGUUUUGUUUUGAAGUCUAAUCCAGGUCAUGAGUUUUAAAAGAUUAAGAAACACAACCAUGAGCUAAAUGUUGGCGGGAAUUGCAGACCAUGGUAACUGGCUUUUUUCCACAAAUGAGGAAUUUAAGGCCCAAAGGGAGCCCAAAGGGAAUUAGUGACCCUGGCCAUGGGGGCAGAGCAGAGUGUGCACCCAGGACACAAGGAAGACAAGGAAAGCAGUAGAAGAUGGCCCAAGUGCCUGGACCCCUGCACCUACAUGGGAGACCCAGAAGAAGCUCCUGGUUCCUGACUUUGGUCUGGACCAGCCUCAGCCAUUUCGGCCAUCUGGGGAGUGAACCAGUGGAUGGAAGAUUUUCUCUCUCAAUCCCCCACUCCCCUGUAACUCUUUCAAAUAAAUAAAAAUAAAUCUUAUAUUAAAAAGAGAUCCCCAGUA